RNAcentral lists this ribosomal RNA (2770 nucleotides) under Gelatoporia subvermispora. Lineage: Eukaryota; Fungi; Basidiomycota; Agaricomycetes; Polyporales; Gelatoporiaceae. The record is from RNAcentral.
AGUCGAUGUCGUAAAGGAAAGAUGUUAUUUCAUUUAAUAUUAUUCUUAAAUAAAACUACUCCAAACCCAAACAUAAAACUAACAAAAAUAAAUAAAUAUAAUUUACUUGCCCUUUUUUAUAAUUAUAAAUUUAAACCAAACUAUUCAAGUACUAUAUUUUUUUUAACUAGUGAUAAACAAAAUAUUAGGCAAGGGCAAAAUAGUAUAAAUAAAAGACAUUUUAGCACCAAUGCUAAAUCUACAGAAUUUAUUAGAAUUCCAAAAGCCCUACAAAUUUAUAAUAAUUUAGAUAAUACAGCUAUAAUUAACGAAAUUAGAAAAGAAUUUAAAGAUAAAUCUAUUAUCUAUGGAAUUGGUAAUAACUUAAAUAAUAAAAUUUAUAUAGGAAGUACCACCAAUCCACAAACACGCUUCUAUUAUCAUUUUAUUAAAUUAGGUAGAAGUACUAAUAAACACCUUCAAAACGCUAUAAAACUUUUAGGAUUAUCUAACUUUUCAUUGUAUAUUUUUUCUGUAAUAGAAUUAUCUGAUUCUUUAACUAAUAAACAAAAACGAACUAUUAUAUUAGGAUUAGAGCAAAAAUAUAUUGAUAUGUUUCCUGUUGAACAACUGUAUAAUUUUUUAAUUGUAGCUGGUUCUCCUCUAGGACAUAAACACUUAGAGGAAACCAAAUUAUUAAUGAGCAUAAAUUCAAAAGGGGUAAUAUUCCAGCUAAUAAAGGUGUCAAAAUGUCAGAAUCAGCUAAAUUAGAAUUAAAACAAAAAAUGUCACAUAGAUUUAAACCUGUUUAUUUUCGUGACGAGAUGGAUAAUCUGGUUACAAUGUAUGAAAGUUUUAAUGAAUGUAGAAGACAAGAAAAAUGUAAUUCUAAAACAUUGUUGAAUUGUAUCAAAAAUGGUAUAUUAUUUAGAGGAUUUAAAGUAUCUAGGUAAAAAAUGUUUUUCGUUUUUUUAUGUGUUAAUGUUGCUCCUGCCUCGCUCCUCCUCAGUCUUCGUAGGAGACGAGGGGAGCAGAGGGAGUAGUUUUUAAUUAAUGAAUGUAUAAAUAGUAUAACACUAUCUCUCCACUUAUCUAGUGAUAGGUAUUGUAAAAUUACCCUAAAUGCUGGAAAGUCCUAAUUAGUUAUAAGUACUUAUAUAAUAAGUCAUAAUCUUCUAACUAAGGAUCAUCAGCAAGAUGAUUAUAAAAACAACACGACUCCUGCCUCGCUCCUCCUCAGUCUUCGUAGGAGACGAGGGGAGCAGAGGUAUAAAAAUGUAACAAAUUACUUUUUAUUUUUGGUUGUUUUCUUCAGAGACUACAUGGGUAACGCUUAAUAAUUUAAGAUGAUGAUAUAGUCCGAUUGUUCCUAAUAAAAAACUAAACUAUUUUAUUAGAAUAAUUGAAUAAUGAUAUUACUUUACUAUUAGUGUUGUCAAAAUUUUUGGUGCCAGAAGACUCGGUAAGGCCAGAAACACAAACGUUAAUCAUCCUAAACAGGCGUAAAGGGUUUGUAGGCUGCUUCUAUAUCUUUAUUUUAAAAGCUUAAUUUAAAAUGAAGAACAAGGAGCUAGAAUCAAAUGGAGGAUAUAAUUUAAAAAAUGCUUAGAGUAGGGAUUAAAUCCUUAGAUACUAAGUGGAAUGCUAGGUGCGUAAGCUUUUUUCCACUAAUGAUUGACGCUGAGAAACGAAGGUGAGUAUAGGGAAUAGGAUCUUAAAAUGCGACCUGCCAAGACUAUUUCAGUAUUGCGGAUACACUCCGUCUUAAUAUUCCAUCUUAUUAGAGUUCGCCUUAAUAAACGAGUAUUGGUAACGAUCUAGUUUAAAGCUUAAGGUAUAAGUUCAAAAUAUUCAAAUCUGUUUAUGUUUUAACUUGAACUGUCUUCAAUGGUUAGAGAAAUCAAACCUAUAUAAAUAAAGGUUCUAUAAUUAGUAUUUUCACGAGUCCUUGGUGAUUAUAAGAUGGACAAAGAGUUCUAGAAUCAAAGUAGGAACCUACGAAGACUAAUAGUACUUAAAUAGUAACAGGGAAACUCCUAUAAUCUGCUAUUUUCAGAUAAAAAUUUAUUUUAAAUAGCAAGGAAAUUAGCAAUAGUUUUUGAUAGAUUAGAGGAAGUAUGACAGCGUAAAAAGCAAAGGCCAUUAUGUAAUGUAAUGGAUAGGCUUAUUAUUUAUUUUAGUAACUAUAUUGGAAUAAAUAAUAACAUAGCUAAUCCGAAAGGAUGCAGACGUACGCAUGGGUGAAUUUAAAGUAUAUUUAAAAUUAAUAUUAUAAAGGACAUGGCCCUGCUUUUCCUGCUCUUUUUGUUUUCUGCUUUUUUUAAAUAAUUCAUUAGCAGAAGCAACAAUGCCUUUAGGCUAAGAGCAGAGAUUCAAAAUUUGUGGUUAAUCCAACUUGUUGGUUGCUUAUUAAUUAAAGCAAGAGAAGCAAGAGGAUAGCCAAGCUUGCCGCUUAGCUAUGCAAGCUGGAAAGGUUCACUAGUUAAAAAGUAAAUUAAUAAACUAUUUUUAAAGGAUAAUAUGCCUACUUAUUUAUGUAUAAUCAUUUAAUGAUCAUAUGUGAACCCCUUUAAUUAAACAAAUUUACUUUAGAUAUUGCCUGAGCCGUAUGCGAUGAAAGUCGCACGUACGGUUCUUUGUGGAAGACAAGCUGUAAAGCUCUAAUUUCACGGUUAGAUACCCUCGUUACCUCUCUCUGUAAACGAUGAAUGGUAGUUAUUAGUUUAAAACUAGUGGCGAUGUUAACACGAUAACCAUUCCGCCUUGUGAGUACGAUUGCAAAAUUGAAAAC